AAGUCGUAACAAGGUUUCCGUAGGAAUAAGAUCCUCCUUGAAGCCUUUUGCACGACGACUAUAACCACGUGCACAGUCUCUUCUCUGAGAGGCUACGCCACUAAAGUGCUGGAAUACAUAUCUUGUAAAUCAGCAGCCAACCAUGAAUUGUCUUUUGUGCUUGGUUCACAGAUUAGCUAGUGAUGGUCAACGGGCGCUCGUGUCGUCGUUGAUUAAGAUAUAAUCGGUCUCAUGGUGACAAUCACGGUUGAAAAACGUUCCGUAGGUGAACCUGCGGAAGGAUCAUUA
Molecule: ribosomal RNA, 288 nt
Filed under: Involucropyrenium waltheri
Lineage: Eukaryota; Fungi; Ascomycota; Eurotiomycetes; Verrucariales; Verrucariaceae
Description: partial small subunit ribosomal RNA
Source: RNAcentral